RNAcentral lists this ribosomal RNA (464 nucleotides) under Geodermatophilus sp. BC506. RNAcentral's name for it is "bacterial SSU rRNA". It matches the Rfam family "Bacterial small subunit ribosomal RNA", at positions 14 to 490 of the family's 1533-position model. Lineage: Bacteria; Bacillati; Actinomycetota; Actinomycetes; Geodermatophilales; Geodermatophilaceae. The record is from RNAcentral.
UGAUCCUGGCUCAGGACGAACGCUGGCGGCGUGCUUAACACAUGCAAGUCGAGCGAGGCCCAUCCUUCGGGGUGGUGCCCUAGCGGCGAACGGGUGAGUAACACGUGGGCAACCUGCCCUCAGCUCUGGGAUAACUCCAAGAAAUUGGUGCUAAUACCGGAUGUGACCGCUGACCGCAUGGUCUGGUGGUGGAAAGAUUCAUCGGCUGAGGAUGGGCCCGCGGCCUAUCAGCUUGUUGGUGGGGUCACGGCCCACCAAGGCGACGACGGGUAGCCGGCCUGAGAGGGUGACCGGCCACACUGGGACUGAGACACGGCCCAGACUCCUACGGGAGGCAGCAGUGGGGAAUAUUGCGCAAUGGGCGAAAGCCUGACGCAGCGACGCCGCGUGAGGGAUGACGGCCUUCGGGUUGUAAACCUCUUUCAGUAGGGACGAAGCGAAAGUGACGGUACCUACAGAAGAAG